UUUCCGUAGGUGAACCUGCGGAAGGAUCAUUAAUAAUUUGCUGAACCUAGCGUUAGCGAGGUUUUGCGAUCACUUAUAUUUAAAACCCAACUCUUAAAUUGUAUAUAAUUAUGUAUUUUUUUUUUUAAUAAAAAAGAUCACUUUCAACAACGGAUCUCUUGGCUCUC
Molecule: unclassified non-coding RNA, 167 nt
Filed under: soil metagenome
Description: partial contains small subunit ribosomal RNA, internal transcribed spacer 1, and 5.8S ribosomal RNA
Source: RNAcentral